CUUUGGGUAAGAUAGUUCUCUUAAUUGCCCCCAAACUGUUUGCUGGAGAGAAAUCUGUGGUGUUGUUCUGUUGGUAGCUCUUAUUGUUUGAAAACACAGCAGUUGCACGUGGUUAAAAUUCACACAAGGCUAAAGGUAUGUGGUAAGAAAGUGCUCUUCCCAGUUCUAACUCGCAGCGCCCAAUCCCCGCCCCAGAGGCAGCGGCUGUGGCUGUGUCUUGCGUGCCCUUCCAGAGACAUGAAGAUGGAGUGGAAGCUUAACAAGACAGGAAAGGAACAAGGCGGGCAGCCUCUGCCACUACCACUGAUUGGCUCGGAAAGGAGACUCUGGCUGGCACACACCAGAUUUACCAGGACUUGAUUCUGAACUCAGCAUUUCUCCCAAGAGCACCAGUUCCGCCUAAUGAGGGCAACUCAAGCGAAUCCACAGGAAAGAAAAAGGAAAGUGAUAUUUUAAUUUUAUCCAGCCUGAAACACAACGGUACGCAAGGACGGUGCCUGCAAUUCUGACUCAUAAAUGUAUCAAUGCGUUAUUUUAUGGAAUAGAGACGUGUUCUGCCCAAAUUGGCUGUGAAGUGAAUAAACAUUAUUUUUCUACUGAAUUCAGCUAUAAAAUGACUAGAAGUCUUCCCACGGGGUUAGGAAAAAAAAGAAAGCAAAAAGCAGAAACCGACCGCCAGCGGGAAGAAAAGAAACGGCAUGGGGCCGACCGCGGCUGGCUUGCGAAGUGCAGAGGUGACUCCGUGCUCUCUGCGGCUGAUUUCUGUCGCUUUUUCCAAAUACCCCGACUGUAAAGAUCAUGCUCAUUUCCUCCCGCUUUGUUCUCCUUGUUUUCUUUUGAGGGGCUAUUAAACCCAGUGGAGCAGACUGCAAUAUUUUGCUUUACCUAGAGGUCCAUUUAACAUAAGCUUCAAGGGUUUGGCUGUAUAAACCCA
This 934-nucleotide long non-coding RNA is filed under the name Equus asinus (donkey). Its description in RNAcentral is "lncRNA (ENSEASG00005034391.1)". The record is from RNAcentral. Lineage: Eukaryota; Metazoa; Chordata; Mammalia; Perissodactyla; Equidae.